RNAcentral lists this ribosomal RNA (252 nucleotides) under uncultured microorganism. Its description in RNAcentral is "partial small subunit ribosomal RNA". It matches the Rfam family "Bacterial small subunit ribosomal RNA", at positions 524 to 776 of the family's 1533-position model. The record is from RNAcentral.
UACGUAGGUGGCAAGCGUUGUCCGGAAUUACUGGGUGUAAAGGGAGCGUAGGCGGGGAUGCAAGUCAAGUGUUAAAUCCAUCGGCUCAACUGAUGGCUGCGCUUGAAACUGCAACUCUUGAGUGAAGUAGAGGUUGGCGGAAUUCCUAGUGUAGCGGUGAAAUGCGUAGAUAUUAGGAGGAACACCAGUGGCGAAGGCGGCCAACUGGGCUUUUACUGACGCUGAGGCUCGAAAGUAUGGGGAGCAAACAGG